RNAcentral lists this ribosomal RNA (350 nucleotides) under uncultured Pseudomonas sp. Its description in RNAcentral is "bacterial SSU rRNA". It matches the Rfam family "Bacterial small subunit ribosomal RNA", at positions 1034 to 1382 of the family's 1533-position model. The record is from RNAcentral. Lineage: Bacteria; Pseudomonadati; Pseudomonadota; Gammaproteobacteria; Pseudomonadales; Pseudomonadaceae.
ACAGGUGCUGCAUGGCUGUCGUCAGCUCGUGUCGUGAGAUGUUGGGUUAAGUCCGUAACGAGCGCAACCCUUGUCCUUAGUUACCAGCACGUUAUGGUGGGCACUCUAAGGAGACUGCCGGUGACAAACCGGAGGAAGGUGGGGAGUGACGUCAAGUCAUCAUGGCCCUUACCGGCCUGGGCUACACACGUGCUACAAUGGUCGGUACAAAGGGUUGCCAAGCCGCGAGGUGGAGCUAAUCCCAUAAAACCGAUCGUAGUCCGGAUCGCAGUCUGCAACUCGACUGCGUGAAGUCGGAAUCGCUAGUAGUCGUGAAUCAGAAUGUCACGGUGAAUACGUUCCCGGGCCUU